RNAcentral lists this ribosomal RNA (206 nucleotides) under uncultured bacterium. RNAcentral describes it as "partial 16S ribosomal RNA". It matches the Rfam family "Bacterial small subunit ribosomal RNA", at positions 568 to 774 of the family's 1533-position model. The record is from RNAcentral.
CGCGCAGGCGGUCGUUCAAGUCGAGUGUGAAAGCCCCCGGCUCAACUGGGGAGGGUCACUCGAUACUGAUCGACUCGAAGGCAGAAGAGGGAAGCGGAAUUCCCGGUGUAGUGGUGAAAUGCGUAGAUAUCGGGAGGAACACCAGUGGCGAAGGCGGCUUUCUGGUCUGCUCUUGACGCUGAGGCGCGAAAGCUAGGUAGCAAACG